GGAUGUGAGAGCGAUCUGGCUGCUACAUUUGUCACCCCAUUGACCGCCAGGGUUGAUUCAGCUGAUCUGGCUGGCUCUCACUGCUCCAUGUGCGACCCUCCCGAAGCUGUGCGCUCUAUCAAAGAGGACGACCUUCCCCGAUAGAGGAGAAGACCGUUCUUGGGUCAAGGGUAUACGAGUACCUGCGCUCCCCUGCUAGAACCUCCAAACAAGCUCUCAAAAGUAGAUGUCCUUUAGCAAAGAGAAAGUAUGAAUGUAGCCCGUUAUGUUCUGGGGAUGAUAUUAUACUCCCUAUUAAU
Molecule: small nuclear RNA, 299 nt
Filed under: Pteropus vampyrus (large flying fox)
Lineage: Eukaryota; Metazoa; Chordata; Mammalia; Chiroptera; Pteropodidae
Description: 7SK RNA (ENSPVAG00000026590.1)
Rfam family: 7SK RNA
About the family: 7SK was discovered as an abundant small nuclear RNA in the mid-70s but a possible function has only recently been suggested. Two independent studies have found that 7SK RNA binds the CDK9/cyclin T complex (known as elongation factor P-TEFb).
Source: RNAcentral